GUCGAACGGAACCUUCGGGUUUUAGUGGCGAACGGGUGAGUAACACGUAAGCAACCUACCCUAAAGACGAGGAUAACCAUUGGAAACAGUGGCUAAGACUGGAUAGGAAGAUAAAAGGCAUCUUGUAUCUUUUAAAAGACCUAGUUAAUAGGUAUGCUUUAGGAGGGGCUUGCGCCAUAUUAGUUAGUUGGUAGGGUAAUGGCCUACCAAGACGAUGAUGUGUAGCUGGACUGAGAGGUUGAACAGCCACAUUGGGACUGAGACACGGCCCAAACUCCUACGGGAGGCAGCAGUAGGGAAUUUUCGGCAAUGGAGGAAACUCUGACCGAGCAACGCCGCGUGAAUGACGAAGUACUUCGGUAUGUAAAGUUCUUUUAUCGAGGAAGAAAAGCAAAUGGCGAACCAUUUGUUUGCCGGUACUUGAUGAAUAAGCCCCGGCUAAUUAUGUGCCAGCAGCCGCGGUAAGACAUAAGGGGCAAGUGUUAUCCGGAAUUAUUGGGCGUAAAGGGUGCGUAGGCGGUCUAGUAAGUCAGUGGUGUAAUGGCAACGCUUAACGUUGUCCGGCUAUUGAAACUGCUAAACUUGAGUUAGAUAGAGGCGAGUGGAAUUCCAUGUGUAGCGGUAAAAUGCGUAAAUAUAUGGAGGAACACCAGAGGCGUAGGCGGCUCGCUGGGUCUUAACUGACGCUGAGGCACGAAAGCGUGGGGAGCAAACAGGAUUAGAUACCCUGGUAGUCCACGCCGUAAACGAUGAGUACUAAGUGUCGGGUUAAACCGGUACUGAAGUUAACACAUUAAGUACUCCGCCUGAGUAGUACGUACGCAAGUAUGAAACUUAAAGGAAUUGACGGGACUCCGCACAAGCGGUGGAUCAUGUUGUUUAAUUCGAAGAUACCCGAAAAACCUUACCAGGUCUUGACAUGUUUUUGCAAAAUGAUAGUAAUAUCGUGGAGGUUACCAGAAACACAGGUGGUGCAUGGUUGUCGUCAGCUCGUGUCGUGAGAUGUUAGGUUAAGUCCUAAAACGAGCGAAACCCUUAUCGUUAGUUGCCAGCACGUUAUGGUGGGGACUUUAACGAGACUGCCAAUGAUAAAUUGGAGGAAGGUGAGGAUCACGUCAAAUCAGCAUGCCCCUUAUGACCUGGGCUACAAACGUGAUACAAUGGCUGUUACAAAGGGUAGCUGAAACGCAAGUUCUUGGCCAAUCCCCAAAAACAGUCCCAGUCCGGAUUGAAGUCUGCAACUCGACUUCAUGAAGUUGGAAUCGCUAGUAAUCGCGAAUCAGCAUGUCGCGGUGAAUACGUUCUCGGGGUUUGUACACACCGCCCGUCAAACCACGAAAGUUGGCAAUACCCCAAAACGGUAGCCUAACUCGUUUAUUCGAGAGGGCGCCGUCUAAGGUAGGGUCGAUGAUUGGGGUUAAGU
This 1423-nucleotide ribosomal RNA is filed under the name 'Scaevola taccada' witches'-broom phytoplasma. Its description in RNAcentral is "bacterial SSU rRNA". It matches the Rfam family "Bacterial small subunit ribosomal RNA". Lineage: Bacteria; Bacillati; Mycoplasmatota; Mollicutes; Acholeplasmatales; Acholeplasmataceae. The record is from RNAcentral.